UACAGAGGUCCCGAGCGUUGUUCGGAUUCAUUGGGCGUAAAGGGUGCGUAGGCGGCGGGGUAAGUUUGAUGUGAAAUCCCGGGGCUCAACCCUGGAAUUGCAUUGAAUACUACCUUGCUAGAGUACCGGAGAGGAAACUGGAAUUUACGGUGUAGCAGUGAAAUGCGUAGAGACCCGGAGGAACACCAGUGGCGAAGGCGGCUUCCUGGUCUGCGACUGACGCUGUGGCGCGAAAGCUAGGGGAGCAAACGGG
This 253-nucleotide ribosomal RNA is filed under the name uncultured bacterium. Its description in RNAcentral is "partial 16S ribosomal RNA". It matches the Rfam family "Bacterial small subunit ribosomal RNA", at positions 524 to 776 of the family's 1533-position model. The record is from RNAcentral.